Molecule: ribosomal RNA, 484 nt
Filed under: uncultured bacterium
Lineage: Bacteria
Description: partial 16S ribosomal RNA
Rfam family: Bacterial small subunit ribosomal RNA
Source: RNAcentral
AUUGAACGCUGGCGGCAUGCUUUACACAUGCAAGUCGAACGGCAGCGCGGGCUUCGGCCUGGCGGCGAGUGGCGAACGGGUGAGUAAUGCAUCGGAACGUGCCCAGUAGUGGGGGAUAGCCCGGCGAAAGCCGGAUUAAUACCGCAUACGACCUGAGGGUGAAAGCGGGGGACCGAAAGGCCUCGCGCUAUUGGAGCGGCCGAUGUCGGAUUAGCUAGUUGGUGGGGUAAAGGCUUACCAAGGCGACGAUCCGUAGCUGGUCUGAGAGGACGACCAGCCACACUGGGACUGAGACACGGCCCAGACUCCUACGGGAGGCAGCAGUGGGGAAUUUUGGACAAUGGGGGCAACCCUGAUCCAGCCAUGCCGCGUGCGGGAAGAAGGCCUUCGGGUUGUAAACCGCUUUUGUUCGGGAAGAAAUCCUUUGGGCUAAUACCCCGGGGGGAUGACGGUACCGGAAGAAUAAGCACCGGCUAACUACGUG